This 473-nucleotide ribosomal RNA is filed under the name uncultured bacterium. RNAcentral describes it as "SSU rRNA". It matches the Rfam family "Bacterial small subunit ribosomal RNA", at positions 26 to 518 of the family's 1533-position model. The record is from RNAcentral.
AGGACGAACGCUGGCGGCGUGCUUAACACAUGCAAGUCGAGCGGAAAGGCCCUUCGGGGUACUCGAGCGGCGAACGGGUGAGUAACACGUGAGUAAUCUGCCCCUAGCUCUGGGAUAGCUCCGGGAAACCGGGAUUAAAUACCAGAUACGACCACUUUAGACAUCUGUUGUGGUGGAAAGAAUUUCGGCUAGGGAUGAGCUCGCGGCCUAUCAGCUUGUUGGUGAGGUAACGGCUCACCAAGGCGACGACGGGUAGCCGGCCUGAGAGGGCGACCGGCCACACUGGGACUGAGACACGGCCCAGACUCCUACGGGAGGCAGCAGUGGGGAAUAUUGCGCAAUGGGCGAAAAGCCUGACGCAGCGACGCCGCGUGGGGGAUGAAGGCCUUCGGUUGUAAACCCUUUCAGCAGGACGAAGCGAAAGUGACGGUACCUGCAGAAGAAGCGCCGGCUAACUACGUGCCAGCAGCCGC